RNAcentral lists this unclassified non-coding RNA (218 nucleotides) under uncultured fungus. RNAcentral's name for it is "sequence contains 5.8S rRNA gene, ITS2". The stretch from base 1 to 100 matches the Rfam family "5.8S ribosomal RNA", at positions 47 to 154 of the family's 154-position model. Lineage: Eukaryota; Fungi. The record is from RNAcentral.
AGCGAAAUGCGAUACGCAAUGCGAAUUGCAGAACCGUGAGUCAUCAGAUUUUUGAACGCAAGUGGCGAUGGUUUCGGCCAUCAUGUUUGUUUCAGUGUGUUCGGUUAAUUACAUCAUAGAAUUUAAUGUGACUGAAGCGAUUCUUUCACUGAAUAUGAGGUAGUGUCAGCUAGAUGACAUUAGGCGAACUAGUCACUAAUUUGGUGAUAAUCGUUUAA